This 253-nucleotide ribosomal RNA is filed under the name uncultured bacterium. RNAcentral describes it as "partial 16S ribosomal RNA". It matches the Rfam family "Bacterial small subunit ribosomal RNA", at positions 524 to 776 of the family's 1533-position model. The record is from RNAcentral.
UACGUAGGGUGCAAGCGUUGUCCGGAAUUAUUGGGCGUAAAGAGCUCGUAGGCGGUCUGUCGCGUCUGCUGUGAAAACUCAGGGCUUAACCCUGAGCUUGCAGUGGGUACGGGCAGACUAGAGCGCGGUAGGGGAGACUGGAAUUCCUGGUGUAGCGGUGAAAUGCGCAGAUAUCAGGAGGAACACCGGUGGCGAAGGCGGGUCUCUGGGCCGUAACUGACGCUGAGGAGCGAAAGCAUGGGGAGCGAACAGG